Molecule: ribosomal RNA, 497 nt
Filed under: uncultured bacterium
Lineage: Bacteria
Description: partial 16S ribosomal RNA
Rfam family: Bacterial small subunit ribosomal RNA
Source: RNAcentral
GAUGAACGCUGGCGGCGUGCCUAAUACAUGCAAGUCGAGCGAACAGACGAGGAGCUUGCUCCUCUGACGUUAGCGGCGGACGGGUGAGUAACAUGUGGAUAACCUACCUAUAAGACUGGGAUAACUUCGGGAAACCGGAGCUAAUACCGGAUAAUAUAUUGAACCGCAUGGUUCAAUAGUGAAAGACGGUUUUGCUGUCACUUAUAGAUGGAUCCGCGCCGCAUUAGCUAGUUGGUAAGGUAACGGCUUACCAAGGCAACGAUGCGUAGCCGACCUGAGAGGGUGGUCGGCCACACUGGAACUGAGACACGGUCCAGACUCCUACGGGAGGCAGCAGUAGGGAAUCUUCCGCAAUGGGCGAAAGCCUGACGGAGCAACGCCGCGUGAGUGAUGAAGGUCUUCGGAGCGUAAAACUCUGUUAUUAGGGAAGAACAAAUGUGUAAGUAACUAUGCACGUCUUGACGGUACCUAGUCAGAAAGCCACGGCUAACUACGUG